AUGUUCAGCCAAUUCGACCAUGUCAAAUGCAGUUUUGCGUGGAAGGGAGCUGGUAUAUUUGUAAUUGAUAUGUAUGAUGGCACGUCUUCUGAAUGCAAGCUUCGUCUCGAUAGGAGAUCCUCCAGCUUCAGUGUGUUGAAGUCUGACGGAUUGGAGAAUCAGAUGGUAGUCGCUGGAGAGGCAAGGAACUCCCAUGCUUGCAGCGAUGCACUUGGUGGGCAUUCCUUGCAUUUUUCCCGUAGAAUCACACGGUACAUGUAUUUAAUUAUAGCAAAGUCACCAUGUCUUUAUCAUGCCAGUAUGCCAAUGUGCCCAGAAAUUAGAUAUCAGAGGGAAGUUAGCAAGUCACCAGCUCUGAAAGCAUACCAAAUAUUUCAGUUUUUAGGCCACUUCUCAAUUUUGAAGAGCUACUCCUUUGAACUAGAUAUGUGA
This 432-nucleotide ribosomal RNA is filed under the name Triticum aestivum (bread wheat). RNAcentral's name for it is "partial small subunit ribosomal RNA". The record is from RNAcentral. Lineage: Eukaryota; Viridiplantae; Streptophyta; Magnoliopsida; Poales; Poaceae.